GGGCGCGGUAGUAUAGCGGUUAAUGCAUUCCCGAGUUCGAGCGAAGACCCAGGUUCGACUCCUGGCCCGCCCA
Molecule: transfer RNA, 73 nt
Filed under: Cercophora samala
Lineage: Eukaryota; Fungi; Ascomycota; Sordariomycetes; Sordariales; Lasiosphaeriaceae
Description: tRNA-OTHER
Source: RNAcentral